UACGGGAGGCAGCAGUGGGGAAUAUUGCACAAUGGGGGAAACCCUGAUGCAGCAACGCCGCGUGAAGGAAGAAGUAUUUCGGUAUGUAAACUUCUAUCGACAGGGAAGAAACAAAUGACGGUACCUGAAUAAGAAGCACCGGCUAAAUACGUGCCAGCAGCCGCGGUAAUACGUAUGGUGCAAGCGUUAUCCGGAUUUACUGGGUGUAAAGGGUGAGUAGGCGGUCAUGCAAGUCAUAUGUGAAAUGUCAGGGCUUAACCUUGGCGCCGCAUAAGAAACUGUAUGACUAGAGUGCAGGAGAGGUAAGCGGAAUUCCUAGUGUAGCGGUGAAAUGCGUAGAUAUUAGGAAGAACACCG
This 357-nucleotide ribosomal RNA is filed under the name uncultured bacterium. Its description in RNAcentral is "bacterial SSU rRNA". It matches the Rfam family "Bacterial small subunit ribosomal RNA", at positions 340 to 711 of the family's 1533-position model. The record is from RNAcentral.